This is an RNA transcript of Fundulus heteroclitus (mummichog), 1243 nucleotides long. It is a transcript of the gene named profilin 2, with no coding region annotated. The transcript has 4 exons. Lineage: Eukaryota; Metazoa; Chordata; Actinopteri; Cyprinodontiformes; Fundulidae. The record is from RefSeq and is a predicted model, not a curated record.
AACGCCUGGCGGAGUGAUUUCGCAAGGACUACACCCAAGCCUGUGUCUGGUUGCCGCGGCUCCUCAUCGUUGCCUAGACCAGAGGAAAGCCGGGACGAGACGGAGCCGGGGGGUUUUGCUUGCUUGGAGGCCCGUUAACCACCCAAAAAACACUGCUUCUUCUUCGUUCAAGAGACGCCCGUGGUUUAUCUUCACUCGUCGUGCUUUAUUCCCCAUCCUAGAACUAAUAUCAUUAACAUGUCCUGGCAAGGCUACGUGGAUAACCUGAUGGCUGAUGGCAGCUGCCAGGACGCGGCCAUUGUGGGCUACACGGACGCCAAAUACGUCUGGGGAUCGCAUCCCGGCGGUACCUUUGGCAACAUAACGCCAGCUGAAAUCGAUGUGUUAGUAGGAAAGGACCGAGAGGGCUUCUUCACCAGUGGGAUGACCCUAGGUGGUAAAAAGUGCUCAGUAAUCAGAGACAGCCUGAACAUUGACAGCGACUGGACAAUGGACAUCCGGACAAAGAGUCAAGGAGGCGAGCCAACAUACAAUAUUUCCGUAGGCAAAGCGGGCAAAAUCUUGGUCUUGGUAAUGGGCAAAGAAGGGGUCCAUGGAGGCGGAUUGAAUAAGAAGGCAUACUCGAUGGCAAAAUACUUGAGGGAUUCGGGGUUUUAGAAGUAGCUUUUGUGGCGUAGGAGAGGGAGGGGGGGAAAAAAUAAAAGGGGAAAACAAAAAAACACAAAACGUUUAAAAAGGACAAAAAAAAAAAGUUUCUGUCAAGCCAACAUUUGCCCCCUACAGGCAGUCUCAUCAAAUAGUCCCCAGGAGCAUUUAAAGGGUGCAGGGCAACAAUGUAGCCCCAUAUUUACCUGAGCAUUGGUUUUUGUCAUGGGGAAAGAAGGUAUCCAUGGAGGACUGCUCAACAAGAAAGCUUUUUCGAUGGCUGAGUACCUGAGGAAGUCAGGCUACUAAAGCGACCCGUAACCAGCUACCUAGCAGUUCACCCUUGCCACCUUGUUGCAUUUCACACUACUUCCAGUCCUAGUUUGUAGUUUGUUUUUUCUGCCUUCUCUCCUCCCUUCCCCCCCCCUCCCUCCCCCCCAUUUACCCUUGAACCCUUCGCUCCACACAUUUGCUCUGUGUAUCCUUAUAUCUCCUUUCAAGCACUCUUACGUUGAUCCAUAGCAAAGACGAGCAUGUUGCUAAAUAGGAUGUCAUGACAAAUCUGUACUUAACCAAGACCAGCAAAAAAAAAAAAAAA